UUUGAGUGCCUCUUCUUUCUCUCCUCUCUACCUCGGGUUCCUUCCCCACCAACCAAAGAAUGUCACCCGUGUUAUCAGUUACUUUGGGUCUGCCAGCUCCCGGAAGCAGGGUGAACGGGAGGUAUGAAUCUGGAGUGUCCAGCUGCCUUCAUUGUUGUCCCUUACUUGGAAGCAAAAACCAAAGACAACACUGGGAACACGCGGUUGACAGUUGGGAGAUACUUCCCCGGAGACACCUUUAGCGCUAAAUUCCUAGAGCCCUCCGUGCCCUGGAAGUUAUUUAACUUACCUUUGAGAAAGGUUAUUCCUCAACGGACGCUGUCGAGGGUCUGUGCCUGGGACCUGUCCUAGGAAACUCUGGAAAAGUUUUGUUUAACAUCAACAAGUCACUACUGGGUCUCCUAGACUGUUAAUGCGUCUUUACCCAAACGAGAGACAAUGUGUAGCAUUUGAAAACACCAUCUUCACAAGACAAUCCUUUCUGAUGUCCCAGUGAUGUAGCUACUCUAGUUACCACCGAACUGCAGCUGAACGUGCACCGGAGAGAUCCAGCCUUUCGGCCCUGGCCCUCUUCUCUCUGGCUGAGGACAAGAGCAUCUCAGGAGCUGUUUGGAAUUCUUUCUUCGGAGAGAGCACUUCUUCGGGAGUCCAUGAGGAGAGCCCCCAGAGGGUGCGGCAUCCUCCCUGCUUAGCGCACAGGCCAUGAAGGCUAGACAUGUUGGCUCCACCUGC
This is a long non-coding RNA of Felis catus (domestic cat), 732 nucleotides long. RefSeq lists it as uncharacterized. Lineage: Eukaryota; Metazoa; Chordata; Mammalia; Carnivora; Felidae. The record is from RefSeq and is a predicted model, not a curated record. The transcript is spliced from 4 exons.